RNAcentral lists this transfer RNA (73 nucleotides) under Patescibacteria group bacterium. RNAcentral's name for it is "tRNA-Phe". It matches the Rfam family "tRNA". From Rfam's summary of the family: Transfer RNA (tRNA) molecules are approximately 80 nucleotides in length. Their secondary structure includes four short double-helical elements and three loops (D, anti-codon, and T loops). The record is from RNAcentral.
GCCGAGAUAGCUCAGUCGGUAGAGCAUUCCCCUGAAGAGGGAAGGGUCGCCAGUUCGAUCCUGGCUCUCGGCA